ACGGAGGGUGCGAGCGUUAAUCGGAAUUACUGGGCGUAAAGCGCAUGCAGGCGGUUCGUUAAGUCAGGUGUGAAAUCCCCGGGCUCAACCUCGGAACGGCGCUUGUGACUGGCGGGCUGGAGUACGGCAGAGGGGGGUGGAAUUCCACGUGUAGCGGUGAAAUGCGUAGAGAUGUGAAGGAACACCAGUGGCGAAGGCAGCCCCCUGGGCAGAUACUGACGCUCA
RNAcentral lists this ribosomal RNA (225 nucleotides) under uncultured prokaryote. Its description in RNAcentral is "partial 16S ribosomal RNA". It matches the Rfam family "Bacterial small subunit ribosomal RNA", at positions 525 to 749 of the family's 1533-position model. The record is from RNAcentral.